RNAcentral lists this ribosomal RNA (1109 nucleotides) under uncultured Acinetobacter sp. RNAcentral describes it as "bacterial SSU rRNA". It matches the Rfam family "Bacterial small subunit ribosomal RNA", at positions 363 to 1456 of the family's 1533-position model. Lineage: Bacteria; Pseudomonadati; Pseudomonadota; Gammaproteobacteria; Moraxellales; Moraxellaceae. The record is from RNAcentral.
AUUGGACAAUGGGCGGAAGCCUGAUCCAGCCAUGCCGCGUGUGUGAAGAAGGCCUUUCGGUUGUAUAGCACUUUAAGCGAGGAGGAGGCUCCUUUAGUUAAUACCUAAAGAGAGUGGACGUUACUCGCAGAAUAAGCACCGGCUAACUCUGUGCCAGCAGCCGCGGUAAUACAGAGGGUGCGAGCGUUAAUCGGAUUUACUGGGCGUAAAGCGUGCGUAGGCGGCUUUUUAAGUCGGAUGUGAAAUCCCUGAGCUUAACUUAGGAAUUGCAUUCGAUACUGGGGAGCUAGAGUAUGGGAGAGGAUGGUAGAAUUCCAGGUGUAGCGGUGAAAUGCGUAGAGANUCUNGGAGGNANNAUACCGAUGGCGAAGGCAGCCAUCUGGCCUAAUACUGACGCUGAGGUACGAAAGCAUGGGGAGCAAACAGGAUUAGAUACCCUGGUAGUCCAUGCCGUAAACGAUGUCUACUAGCCGUUGGGGCCUUUGAGGCUUUAGUGGCGCAGCUAACGCGAUAAGUAGACCGCCUGGGGAGUACGGUCGCAANGACUAAAACUCAAAUGAAUUGACGGGGGCCCGCACAAGCGGUGGAGCAUGUGGUUUAAUUCGAUGCAACGCGAAGAACCUUACCUGGCCUUGACAUACUAAGAACUUUCCAGAGAUGGAUUGGUGCCUUCGGGAACUUAGAUACAGGUGCUGCAUGGCUGUCGUCAGCUCGUGUCGUGAGAUGUUGGGUUAAGUCCCGCAACGAGCGCAACCCUUUUCCUUAUUUGCCAUCGGGUAAUGCCGGGAACUUUAAGGAUACUGCCAGUGACAAACUGGUGGAAGGCGGGGACGACGUCAAGUCAUCAUGGCCCUUACGGCCAGGGCUACACACGUGCUACAAUGGUCGGUACAAAGGGUUGCUACCUCGCGAGAGGAUGCUAAUCUCAAAAAGCCGAUCGUAGUCCGGAUCGCAGUCUGCAACUCGACUGCGUGAAGUCGGAAUCGCUAGUAAUCGCGGAUCAGAAUGCCGCGGUGAAUACGUUCCCGGGCCUUGUACACACCGCCCGUCACACCAUGGGAGUUUGUUACACCAGAAGUAGGUAGUCUAACCGCAAGGGAGGACGCUUA